UAGAAGCUGGACUGAAUCUGUCA
This 23-nucleotide non-coding RNA is filed under the name Cricetulus griseus (Chinese hamster). Lineage: Eukaryota; Metazoa; Chordata; Mammalia; Rodentia; Cricetidae. The record is from RNAcentral.